CAAAUUUGUGCCUAAUUCAUGUUGCAAAGCUGUUGAGACCUCCCUUAGAAGCUUGAAUUUACAAGGUAGAUAGAGAAAUGCUGCCACUGUGGAAAACUGACUGUGAGCUAAGGAGUCAGUACAUGGAUCUUCAAGCUACAACUAAUUGCAUAGUUUCCAGGUUGUCUUCAAGGCAUACACCAUCAACUCUCAGAAGAGCUAUGGAAUGGUGCAAAAGUAGUCAUUAAAAGUCUCCCACCACCACCACCAACAAAAAGCCCAGG
This is a non-coding RNA of Cricetulus griseus (Chinese hamster), 263 nucleotides long. The record is from RefSeq and is a predicted model, not a curated record. NCBI's taxonomy places the organism in Eukaryota, Metazoa, Chordata, Mammalia, Rodentia, Cricetidae.